GCGUUGGUGGUUCAGUGGAAGAGUUCUUGCCUUCCAUGUAGGAGACCCAGGUUCCACUCUGGCCAAUGCC
This 70-nucleotide transfer RNA is filed under the name Loxodonta africana (African savanna elephant). It matches the Rfam family "tRNA". Rfam says of the family: Transfer RNA (tRNA) molecules are approximately 80 nucleotides in length. The record is from Rfam by way of RNAcentral. Lineage: Eukaryota; Metazoa; Chordata; Mammalia; Proboscidea; Elephantidae.